AACGAACGCUGGCGGCAUGCCUAACACAUGCAAGUCGAACGAUCCCUUCGGGGAUAGUGGCGCACGGGUGCGUAACGCGUGGGAACCUGCCCUUAGGUUCGGAAUAACUCAAAGAAAUUUGAGCUAAUACCGGAUAAUGUCUUCGGACCAAAGAUUUAUCGCCUUUGGAUGGGCCCGCGUUGGAUUAGCUAGUUGGUGGGGUAAAGGCCUACCAAGGCGACGAUCCAUAGCUGGUCUGAGAGGAUGAUCAGCCACACUGGGACUGAGACACGGCCCAGACUCCUACGGGAGGCAGCAGUGGGGAAUAUUGGACAAUGGGCGAAAGCCUGAUCCAGCAAUGCCGCGUGAGUGAUGAAGGCCUUAGGGUUGUAAAGCUCUUUUACCCGGGAUGAUAAUGACAGUACCGGGAGAAUAAGCCCCGGCUAACUCCGUG
This 433-nucleotide ribosomal RNA is filed under the name uncultured bacterium. RNAcentral's name for it is "partial 16S ribosomal RNA". It matches the Rfam family "Bacterial small subunit ribosomal RNA", at positions 29 to 507 of the family's 1533-position model. The record is from RNAcentral.